This 483-nucleotide ribosomal RNA is filed under the name uncultured bacterium. RNAcentral's name for it is "partial 16S ribosomal RNA". It matches the Rfam family "Bacterial small subunit ribosomal RNA", at positions 28 to 523 of the family's 1533-position model. The record is from RNAcentral.
GACGAACGCUGGCGGCGUGCUAACACAUGCAAGUCGAACGAUGAAGCUGGAGCUUGCUCCGGUGGAUUAGUGGCGAACGGGUGAGUAACACGUGAGAAAUCUGCCCUUGACUCUGGGAUAACUGCGGGAAACUGUAGCUAAUACCGGAUAUUUUCCUUGGUGGGCAUCCACUGGGGAAGAAAGAAUUUCGGUCAAGGAUGAUCUGGCGGCCUAUCAGCUAGUUGGUGAGGUAAUGGCUCACCAAGGCGACGACGGGUAGCCGGCCUGAGAGGGGGACCGGCCACACUGGGACUGAGACACGGCCCAGACUCCUACGGGAGGCAGCAGUGGGGAAUAUUGCACAAUGGGCGCAAGCCUGAUGCAGCAACGCCGCGUGAGGGAUGAAGGCCUUCGGGUUGUAAACCUCUUUUAGCAGGGAAGAAGCGAAAGUGACGGUACCUGCAGAAAAAGCACCGGCUAACUACGUGCCAGCCGCCGCCGUAA